RNAcentral lists this unclassified non-coding RNA (343 nucleotides) under soil metagenome. Its description in RNAcentral is "partial contains 5.8S ribosomal RNA, internal transcribed spacer 2, and large subunit ribosomal RNA". The stretch from base 1 to 120 matches the Rfam family "5.8S ribosomal RNA", at positions 35 to 154 of the family's 154-position model. The record is from RNAcentral.
GAUGAAGAACGUAGCGAAACGCGAUAAGUAAUGUGAAUUGCAGAAUCCAGUGAAUCAUCGAAUCUUUGAACGCACAUUGCGCCCGCCAGCAUUCUGGCGUGCAUGCCUGUUCGAGCGUCAUUUCAACCCUCGACCUCCCCUUGGGGAGGUCGGCGUUGGGGACCGGCAGCACACCGCCGGCCCUGAAAUGGAGUGGCGGCCCGUCCGCGGCGACCUCUGCGCAGUAAUACAGCUCGCACCGGGACCCCGACGCGGCCACGCCGUAAAACACCCAACUUCUGAACGUUGACCUCGAAUCAGGUAGGACUACCCGCUGAACUUAAGCAUAUCAAUAAGCGGAGGA